UACGAAGGGGGCUAGCGUUGUUCGGAAUCACUGGGCGUAAAGCGCACGUAGGCGGAUCUUUAAGUCAGGGGUGAAAUCCCGAGGCUCAACCUCGGAACUGCCUUUGAUACUGGGGAUCUCGAGUCCGGGAGAGGUGAGUGGAACUGCGAGUGUAGAGGUGAAAUUCGUAGAUAUUCGCAAGAACACCAGUGGCGAAGGCGGCUCACUGGCCCGAUACUGACGCUGAGGAGCGAAAGCCAGGGGAGCAAACGGG
Molecule: ribosomal RNA, 253 nt
Filed under: uncultured bacterium
Lineage: Bacteria
Description: partial 16S ribosomal RNA
Rfam family: Bacterial small subunit ribosomal RNA
Source: RNAcentral